This 431-nucleotide ribosomal RNA is filed under the name uncultured bacterium. RNAcentral's name for it is "partial 16S ribosomal RNA". It matches the Rfam family "Bacterial small subunit ribosomal RNA", at positions 29 to 507 of the family's 1533-position model. The record is from RNAcentral.
AACGAACGCUGGCGGCAGGCCUAACACAUGCAAGUCGAGCGCCCUUUCGGGGGAGCGGCGGCCGGGUGCGUAACGCGUGGGAAUAUGCCCUUCUCUACGGAAUAGCCUCGGGAAACUGAGAGUAAUACCGUAUACGCCCUUUGGGGGAAAGAUUUAUCGGGGAAGGAUUAGCCCGCGUUGGAUUAGGUAGUUGGUGGGGUAAUGGCCUACCAAGCCGACGAUCCAUAGCUGGGUUGAGAGGAUGAUCAGCCACACUGGGACUGAGACACGGCCCAGACUCCUACGGGAGGCAGCAGUGGGGAAUCUUAGACAAUGGGGGCAACCCUGAUCUAGCCAUGCCGCGUGAGUGAUGAAGGCCUUAGGGUUGUAAAGCUCUUUCAGCUGGGAAGAUAAUGACGGUACCAGCAGAAGAAGCCCCGGCUAACUCCGUG